RNAcentral lists this transfer RNA (74 nucleotides) under Alphaproteobacteria bacterium. RNAcentral describes it as "tRNA-Thr". It matches the Rfam family "tRNA". Rfam says of the family: Transfer RNA (tRNA) molecules are approximately 80 nucleotides in length. Their secondary structure includes four short double-helical elements and three loops (D, anti-codon, and T loops). Further hydrogen bonds mediate the characteristic L-shaped molecular structure. tRNAs have two regions of fundamental functional importance: the anti-codon, which is responsible for specific mRNA codon recognition, and the 3' end, to which the tRNAs corresponding amino acid is attached (by aminoacyl-tRNA synthetases). tRNAs cope with the degeneracy of the genetic code in two manners: having more than one tRNA (with a specific anti-codon) for a particular amino acid; and 'wobble' base-pairing, i.e. permitting non-standard base-pairing at the 3rd anti-codon position. The record is from RNAcentral. RNAcentral also lists the same sequence under 1 other name. Lineage: Bacteria; Pseudomonadati; Pseudomonadota; Alphaproteobacteria.
GCCGAAGUAGUUAAAUGGCAUAACAGUUGAUUCGUAAUCAUCAAUUGGGAGUUCGAUUCUCCCCUUCGGCACCA